GACGAACGCUGGCGGCGUGCCUAAUACAUGCAAGUCGAGCGAAGUCUUUCUGGUGCUUGCACUAGAAAAACUUAGCGGCGAACGGGUGAGUAACACGUAAAGAACCUGCCUCAUAGACUGGGACAACUAUUGGAAACGAUAGCUAAUACCGGAUAACAGUAUUUCUCGCAUGAGAGAUAUUUAAAAGUUGGUUAUGCUAACACUAUGAGGUGGCUUUGCGGUGCAUUAGCUAGUUGGCGGGGUAAAGGCCCACCAAGGCGACGAUGCAUAGCCGACCUGAGAGGGUGAUCGGCCACACUGGGACUGAGACACGGCCCAGACUCCUACGGGAGGCAGCAGUAGGGAAUCUUCCGCAAUGGGCGAAAGCCUGACGGAGCAACGCCGCGUGAGUGAAGAAGGAUUUCGGUUCGUAAAGCUCUGUUGUUAGGGAAGAAUGGAUAUGUAGUAACUAUACAUGUAAGAGACGGUACCUAACCAGAAAGCCACGGCUAACUACGUG
This 499-nucleotide ribosomal RNA is filed under the name uncultured bacterium. Its description in RNAcentral is "partial 16S ribosomal RNA". It matches the Rfam family "Bacterial small subunit ribosomal RNA", at positions 28 to 507 of the family's 1533-position model. The record is from RNAcentral.